RNAcentral lists this ribosomal RNA (446 nucleotides) under uncultured bacterium. RNAcentral describes it as "partial 16S ribosomal RNA". It matches the Rfam family "Bacterial small subunit ribosomal RNA", at positions 338 to 795 of the family's 1533-position model. The record is from RNAcentral.
CCUACGGGUGGCAGCAGUCGAGAAUCAUUCACAAUGGGGGAAACCCUGAUGGUGCGACGCCGCGUGGGGGAAUGAAGGUCUUCGGAUUGUAAACUCCUGUCAUGUGGGAGCAAAUUAAAAAGAUAGUACCACAAGAGGAAGAGACGGCUAACUCUGUGCCAGCAGCCGCGGUAAUACAGAGGUCUCAAGCGUUGUUCGGAGUCACUGGGCGUAAGGCGUGCGUAGGCUGUUUCGUAAGUCGUGUGUGAAAGGCGCGGGCUCAACCCGCGGACGGCACAUGAUACUGCGAGACUAGAGUAAUGGAGGGGGAACCGGAAUUCUCGGUGUAGCAGUGAAAUGCGUAGAUAUCGAGAGGAACACUCGUGGCGAAGGCGGGUUCCUGGACAUUAACUGACGCUGAGGCACGAAGGCCAGGGGAGCGAAAGGGAUUAGAUACCCUAGUAGUC